This 1311-nucleotide ribosomal RNA is filed under the name metagenome. Its description in RNAcentral is "bacterial LSU rRNA". It matches the Rfam family "Bacterial large subunit ribosomal RNA", at positions 1634 to 2925 of the family's 2925-position model. The record is from RNAcentral.
UAGAAGAACCGUACCGCAAACCGACACUGGUAGGCAGGGUGAGAAUCCCAAGGCGCUUGAGAGAACUCGGGUGAAGGAACUAGGCAAAAUGGCACCGUAACUUCGGGAGAAGGUGCGCCCUUUAGCGUGGUCACAUGCGUGACUGAGCGUUGAAGGGUCGCAGUAACCUGGCCGCUGCGACUGUUUAUCAAAAACACAGCACUCUGCAAACACGAAAGUGGACGUAUAGGGUGUGACGCCUGCCCGGUGCUGGAAGGUUAAUUGAUGGGGUCAGCCGCAAGGCGAAGCUCUUGAUCGAAGCCCCAGUAAACGGCGGCCGUAACAAUAACGGUCCUAAGGUAGCGAAAUUCCUUGUCGGGUAAGUUCCGACCUGCACGAAUGGCGUAACGACAGCGGCGCUGUCUCCACCCGAGACUCAGUGAAAUUGAAUUCGCUGUGAAGAUGCAGCGUUCCCGCGGCAAGACGGAAAGACCCCGUGAACCUUUACUAUAGCUUUACAUUGAACGUUGAGUUCUUCUGUGUAGGAUAGGUGGGAGGCUUUGAAGUGCAGGCGCUAGCUUGCAUGGAGCCAACCUUGAAAUACCACCCUGAAGUGCUUGACGUUCUAACCUCGACCCGUCAUCCGGGUCAGGGACCAUGUAUGGUGGGUAGUUUGACUGGGGCGGUCUCCUCCCAAAGAGUAACGGAGGAGCACGAAGGUACGCUCAGCGCGGUCGGACAUCGCGCACUGUGUGCAAUGGCAUAAGCGUGCUUGACUGCGAGAUCGACGGAUCAAGCAGGUACGAAAGUAGGUCAUAGUGAUCCGGUGGUUCUGUAUGGAAGGGCCAUCGCUCAACGGAUAAAAGGUACUCCGCGGAUAACAGGCUGAUACCGCCCAAGAGUUCAUAUCGACGGCGGUGUUUGGCACCUCGAUGUCGGCUCAUCACAUCCUGGGGCUGUAGCCGGUCCCAAGGGUAUGGCUGUUCGCCAUUUAAAGUGGUACGCGAGCUGGGUUCAGAACGUCGUGAGACAGUUCGGUCCCUAUCUGUCGUGGGCGUUGGAGAUUUGAGGGGGGCUGCUCCUAGUACGAGAGGACCGGAGUGGACGUUCCGCUGGUGUUCGGGUUGUCAUGCCCAUGGCAUUGCCCGGUAGCUAUGAACGGAAGUGAUAACCGCUGAAAGCAUCUAAGCGGGAAGCACGCCCCAAGAUGAGAUCUCCCGAGAGCUUGACUCUCCUUAAGGCACCAUCAAGACCAGGUGGUUGAUAGGUCAGGUGUGGAAGUGCAGCAAUGCAUGGAGCUAACUGAUACUAAUGAGCCGUGAGGCUUGACCA